GAGGAAUAUUGGUCAAUGGACGGAAGUCUGAACCAGCCAAGUCGCGUGAAGGACGAAGGUAUUAUGUAUUGUAAACUUCUUUUGCAGGGGAAUAAAGUGAGGCUUGCGAGCCUUUUUGCAAGUACCCUGCGAAUAAGGAUCGGCUAACUCCGUGCCAGCAGCCGCGGUAAUACGGAGGAUCCGAGCGUUAUCCGGAUUUAUUGGGUUUAAAGGGUGCGUAGGCGGAGAUUUAAGUCAGUGGUGAAAGUUUAGGGCUCAACCUUAAAAUUGCCAUUGAAACUGGAUUUCUUGAGUACGGUAGAGGUAGGCGGAAUUUGUGGUGUAGCGGUGAAAUGCUUAGAUAUCACGAAGAACUCCGAUUGCGAAGGCAGCUUACCGGACCGUAACUGACGCUGAGGCACGAAAGUGUGGGGAUCAAAC
Molecule: ribosomal RNA, 420 nt
Filed under: uncultured bacterium
Lineage: Bacteria
Description: bacterial SSU rRNA
Rfam family: Bacterial small subunit ribosomal RNA
Source: RNAcentral